GCGGUCUUUUAAGUCUAAUGUGAAAGCCUUCGGCUCAACCGAAGAAGUGCAUUGGAAACUGGGAGACUUGAGUGCAGAAGAGGACAGUGGAAUUCCAUGUGUAGCGGUGAAAUGCGUAGAUAUAUGGAAGAACACCAGUGGCGAAGGCGGCUGUCUGGUCUGCAACUGACGCUGAGGCUCGAAAGCAUG
RNAcentral lists this ribosomal RNA (189 nucleotides) under Pediococcus pentosaceus. RNAcentral describes it as "partial 16S ribosomal RNA". It matches the Rfam family "Bacterial small subunit ribosomal RNA", at positions 575 to 763 of the family's 1533-position model. The record is from RNAcentral. Lineage: Bacteria; Bacillati; Bacillota; Bacilli; Lactobacillales; Lactobacillaceae.